Long non-coding RNA from Fundulus heteroclitus (mummichog), 1710 nucleotides. RefSeq lists it as uncharacterized. The transcript is spliced from 3 exons. The record is from RefSeq and is a predicted model, not a curated record. NCBI's taxonomy places the organism in Eukaryota, Metazoa, Chordata, Actinopteri, Cyprinodontiformes, Fundulidae.
AGAGGGACAGACAGUUCAUCAUCAGGUCCUUUAUGUCUCACCUAUCCUCAGGUCCUGGUCUACAUUCAGUUGUUUCAGCUUUUUGUAGUCCUAGCAGAGGAAUUCGGCUCUUUUUACGCCGAUAAAACUACAAACCCCAUGAUGCAACCCUGAGAAAAUGUAUCUUCUGUCUGUUCGGUUGAGGAAAUUAAAAUCUGAAGCCUGUUUCCACCAGCAGCUGCUUCCUCGCGUCAGAGUUCAGGUUUAACACCAGACUCUGCUAGAAAAAAAGAGGAUUUUAAUUGAUGCCUGAAGCCUUCGUCAGUAACGGCGACGAAGAUGAUGUUGACACCUAAAAAUAUCCAGUAUGUUCAGUGUGACUGAUUCAAGGUGUUUUUCUCUAUUUAAGUCUUGGGUCUAAAUAAUAAGGGUCCAAAACCUUGUUUUAUGAAGUCUUACAGAGUAUUUCUAAAAACACUGAGCAGCAAAGCUCCGUUUUAUUUGACAUUCAACAUAAACAUGCAGAGAAGACUGGAGACUCUUCUGAGACAAUACGAUAAUUACAAAAACCCACAAGACUGUCAGACUUCCUUCACAGCGCCCCUGCUGGCCACUGGACGCAUUGCAGGCUCAGGGCCCAAAGUCCUGCAGCCUAAUCAGGUUAAACUAAACUAGUCCUGCAGCCUAAUCAGGUUAAACUAAAUUAAACUAGUCCUGCAGCCUAAUCAGGUUAAACUAAACUAAACUAGUCCUGCAGCCUAAUCAGGUUAAACUAAACUAGUCCUGCAGCCCAAUGAGGUCAAACUAAACUAAACUAGUCCUGCAGCCCAAUGAGAUCAAACUAAACUAGUCCUGCAGCCCAAUGAGGUCAAACUAAACUAGUCCUGCAGCCCAAUGAAGUUAAACUAAACUAAACUAGUCCUGCAGCCUAAUCAGGUUAAACUAAACUAGUCCUGCAGCCCAAUGAGGUCAAACUAAACUAGUCCUGCAGCCCAAUGAAGUCAAACUAAACUAGUCCUGCAGCCUAAUGAGGUUAAACUAAACUAAACUAGUCCUGCAGCCCAAUGAGGUCAAACUAAACUAGUCCUGCAGCCCAAUGAGGUCAAACUAAACUAGUCCUGCAGCCUAAUGAGGUCAAACUAAACUAAACUAGUCCUGCAGCCCAAUGAGGUCAAACUAAACUAAACUAGUCCUGCAGCCUAAUCAGGUUAAACUAAACUAGUCCUGCAGCCCAAUGAGGUCAAACUAAACUAAACUAAACUAGUCCUGCAGCCCAAUGAGGUCAAACUAAACUAAACUAGUCCUGCAGCCCAAUGAGGUCAAACUAAACUAGUCCUGCAGCCCAAUGAGGUCAAACUAAACUAGUCCUGCAGCCCAAUGAGGUCAAACUAAACUAAACUAGUCCUGCAGCCCAAUGAGGUGAAACUAAACUAAACUAGUCCUGCAGCCCAAUGAGGUCAAACUAAACUAGUCCUGCAGCCCAAUGAGGUCAAACUAAACUAGUCCUGCAGCCUAAUGAGGUCAAACUAAACUAGUCCUGCAGCCUAAUGAGGUCAAACUAAACUAAACUAGUCCUGCAGCCCAAUGAGGUCAAACUAAACUAGUCCUGCAGCCCAAUGAGGUCAAACUAAACUAGUCCUGCAGCCUAAUGAGGUCAAACUAAACUAAACUAGUCCUGCAGCCCAAUGAGGUCAAACUAAACUAAACUAGUCCUGCAGCCUAAUGAGGUCA